Long non-coding RNA from Mya arenaria, 450 nucleotides. RefSeq lists it as uncharacterized. NCBI's taxonomy places the organism in Eukaryota, Metazoa, Mollusca, Bivalvia, Myida, Myidae. The transcript has 4 exons. The record is from RefSeq and is a predicted model, not a curated record.
CUUCUUAUCUAUACGAAAUCCUUCCUUAAUUCUUAUCUUAAAUUGGCAGAUCUUGAACGCUGUCAAGGAUGGACAUUUAUAUUGGACCACGGCUCACGUGCUUGCAUGCCUUGGUGUUGUUGGCGGGACUAGCAAUGGUUUAUGGUGAACAACCUAUUUGCGGCGACCAUGGGCACUACGUGGAGGACAGGAAACGGGAUGCUGUGUGCCAGUGUCACCAGGGCUGGUCUGGACAGUUUUGUGACCAUGAAAUAUGCGGCCAUGGCGGAACCUAUGUCCAUAUUUCCGAUGGCCAUCAUCAUUGUGUCUGCAGUUAUCCUUGGACUGGUUCCCAUUGUCAAGAUCAAGAAAGUACGACGCCUGAUCCAGCUUCCCUUUGCAGUUUUCACGGAAUAUAUUUUGAAAGUUAUUGCAUAUGCGAUCCGAACUGGACCGGGCCAACAUGUGCAG